This 302-nucleotide ribosomal RNA is filed under the name uncultured bacterium. Its description in RNAcentral is "partial 16S ribosomal RNA". It matches the Rfam family "Bacterial small subunit ribosomal RNA", at positions 508 to 807 of the family's 1533-position model. The record is from RNAcentral.
GCAGCAGCCGCGGUAAUACGUAGGUGGCAAGCGUUGUCCGGAAUUAUUGGGCGCAAAGGGCUCGCAGGCGGUUUCUUAAGUCUGAUGUGAAAGCCCCCGGCUCAACCGGGGAGGGUCAUUGGAAACUGGGAAACUUGAGUGCAGAAGAGGAGAGUGGAAUUCCACGUGUAGCGGUGAAAUGCGUAGAGAUGUGGAGGAACACCAGUGGCGAAGGCGACUCUCUGGUCUGUAACUGACGCUGAGGAGCGAAAGCGUGGGGAGCGAACAGGAUUAGAUACCCCCGUAGUCCCUGUCCCUUAUAC